RNAcentral lists this ribosomal RNA (305 nucleotides) under uncultured bacterium. RNAcentral describes it as "bacterial SSU rRNA". It matches the Rfam family "Bacterial small subunit ribosomal RNA", at positions 335 to 638 of the family's 1533-position model. The record is from RNAcentral.
GGCCUACGGGACGCAGCAGUGAGGAAUAUUGGUCAAUGGGCGAGAGCCUGAACCAGCCAAGUCGCGUGAGGGAAGACGGUCCUAUGGAUUGUAAACCUCUUUUGUCGGGGAGCAAAAAGGCCUCGUGAGGCCACAAGCGAGAGUACCCGAAGAAAAAGCAUCGGCUAACUCCGUGCCAGCAGCCGCGGUAAUACGGAGGAUGUGAGCGUUAUCCGGAUUUAUUGGGUUUAAAGGGUGCGUAGGCGGUUUUUUAAGUUAGUGGUUAAACGUCGGGGCUUCACCUUGAUUUGCCAUUAAUACUGUAA